Molecule: ribosomal RNA, 253 nt
Filed under: uncultured bacterium
Lineage: Bacteria
Description: partial 16S ribosomal RNA
Rfam family: Bacterial small subunit ribosomal RNA
Source: RNAcentral
GACGUAGGGUGCGAGCGUUGUCCGGAUUUAUUGGGCGUAAAGAGCUCGUAGGCGGCUUGUCGCGUCGACCGUGAAAACUUGGGGCUCAACCCCAAGCCUGCGGUCGAUACGGGCAGGCUAGAGUUCGGUAGGGGAGACUGGAAUUCCUGGUGUAACGGUGAAAUGCGCAGAUAUCAGGAGGAACACCGGUGGCGAAGGCGGGUCUCUGGGCCGUAACUGACGCUGAGGAGCGAAAGCAUGGGGAGCGAACAGG